GACGAACGCUGGCGGCGUGCUUAACACAUGCAAGUCGAACGAUGAAGCUGGAGCUUGCUCCGGUGGAUUAGUGGCGAACGGGUGAGUAACACGUGAGUAAUCUGCCCUUGACUCUGGGAUAACUGCGGGAAACUGUAGCUAAUACCGGAUACGACACCUUCGGGCAUCCGAUGGGUGUGGAAAGAAUUUCGGUCAAGGAUGAACUCGCGGCCUAUCAGCUAGUUGGUGAGGUAAUGGCUCACCAAGGCGACGACGGGUAGCCGGCCUGAGAGGGUGACAGGCCACACGGGGAGUGAGACACGGCCCAGACUCCUACGGGAGGCAGCAGUGGGGAAUAUUGCACAAUGGGCGAAAGCCUGAUGCAGCGACGCCGCGUGGACGAUGAAGGCCUUCGGGUUGUAAAGUCCUUUUGCUCGGGAACAAUUUUUGAGUGUACCGAGAGAAUAAGAGGUUGCUAACUCUGUGCCAGCCGCCGCGGUAA
Molecule: ribosomal RNA, 481 nt
Filed under: uncultured bacterium
Lineage: Bacteria
Description: partial 16S ribosomal RNA
Rfam family: Bacterial small subunit ribosomal RNA
Source: RNAcentral